RNAcentral lists this ribosomal RNA (497 nucleotides) under uncultured bacterium. RNAcentral's name for it is "partial 16S ribosomal RNA". It matches the Rfam family "Bacterial small subunit ribosomal RNA", at positions 28 to 507 of the family's 1533-position model. The record is from RNAcentral.
GACGAACGCUGGCGGCGUGCCUAAUACAUGCCAGUUGAGCGCUGAAGGUUGGUACUUGUACCAACUGGAUGAGCAGCGAACGGGUGAGUAACGCGUGGGGAAUCUGCCUUUGAGCGGGGGACAACAUUUGGAAACGAAUGCUAAUACCGCAUAAAAACUUUAAACACAAGUUUUAAGUUUGAAAGAUGCAAUUGCAUCACUCAAAGAUGAUCCCGCGUUGUAUUAGCUAGUUGGUGAGGUAAAGGCUCACCAAGGCGAUGAUACAUAGCCGACCUGAGAGGGUGAUCGGCCACAUUGGGACUGAGACACGGCCCAAACUCCUACGGGAGGCAGCAGUAGGGAAUCUUCGGCAAUGGACGAAAGUCUGACCGAGCAACGCCGCGUGAGUGAAGAAGGUUUUCGGAUCGUAAAACCCUGUUGGUAGAGAAGAACGUUGGUGAGAGUGGAAAGCUCAUCAAGUGACGGUAACUACCCAGAAAGGGACGGCUAACUACGUG